GCGAGAAAACUUUGCAAUGUGCGAAAGCACGACAAGGUUAAUCCGAGUGGUUUCUGCUAAAGAAACCUUUUGUCAGUCCUAGAAACACUAACGAAUAAGGGGUGGGCAAGUUCUGGUGUCAGCCGCCGCGGUAAAACCAGCACCUCAAGUGGUCAGGAUGAUUAUUGGGCCUAAAGCAUCCGUAGCCCGUUUUGUAAGUUUUCGGUUAAAUCCAUGCGCUUAACGUAUGGGCUGCCGGGAAUACUGCAUAACUAGGAAGUGGGAGAGGUAGACGGUACUCGGUAGGAAGGGGUAAAAUCCUUUGAUCUAUUGAUGACCACCUGUGGCGAAGGCGGUCUACCAGAACACGUUCGACGGUGAGGGAUGAAAGCUGGGGGAGCAAACCGGAUUAGAUACCCGCGUAGUCCCUGAGCGGGCUGGCAAGGCGCAU
RNAcentral lists this ribosomal RNA (430 nucleotides) under uncultured bacterium. RNAcentral's name for it is "bacterial SSU rRNA". It matches the Rfam family "Archaeal small subunit ribosomal RNA", at positions 339 to 776 of the family's 1478-position model. The record is from RNAcentral.